GAAAGAAACCAUUUGACUGUUCUGAAUCAAAGAUUUGGACAAAAGGGUGACCUGCAAAAACACAUAAUUCACACAGGACACAAACAAUUUGGCUGUUCUGAAUGUGGUCGCAGAUUUGGAGAUAAGAGCAACCUGAAAAGACACACGAGAUAAUUCAUACAAGACAAAAAGCAUUUGUCUGUUCUGAAUGUGAUCAAAGAUUUGGACAACAGG
Long non-coding RNA from Thalassophryne amazonica, 213 nucleotides. RefSeq lists it as uncharacterized. NCBI's taxonomy places the organism in Eukaryota, Metazoa, Chordata, Actinopteri, Batrachoidiformes, Batrachoididae. The record is from RefSeq and is a predicted model, not a curated record. The transcript has 3 exons.